ACAGACUUCAUAGGAUCAAUUCUAUAGUAAACGUCCUCUUCUGAGCUCUUCACACGAGCCACAGAAUCCUCAACCUGGCUGACGAGACAAAGCCCUCGGCACCCUAGAGUGAAGCCUUAUGUUACUUUCGACGGUCUCGUCGGUCUGUGAAUCUCGGGGCAACCUGGGAUUCCGGGCCGGCGAGCAGAGAGUGGUGAUGAUCUUUGACCUGCGUCUUGGGGACUGGCUUCGUGCCGCUCAGCGUGGGAGGUGCCGACGGGCUGAUUCUGACAGGC
This 275-nucleotide small nucleolar RNA is filed under the name Capronia epimyces CBS 606.96. RNAcentral's name for it is "Fungal small nucleolar RNA U3". It matches the Rfam family "Fungal small nucleolar RNA U3". From Rfam's summary of the family: Small nucleolar RNAs (snoRNAs) are involved in the processing and modification of rRNA in the nucleolus. There are two main classes of snoRNAs: the box C/D class, and the box H/ACA class. Lineage: Eukaryota; Fungi; Ascomycota; Eurotiomycetes; Chaetothyriales; Herpotrichiellaceae. The record is from Rfam by way of RNAcentral.